CUUUCUCUUUAGUGUCGCGUGAUGGCGCCGCUCAGACCUCAGCCGGACGGAUGGACACGCAGAGCUGUUUGACAUCUGCAGGAGUCCUCAGAGGACACACUGAGCAGCUCUGACACUCGUGAUCUCUGAUGUUUUCAGCAGAGCGCGUCAUGGCGACCGCAGCAUCAGGUGAGUCCUGUCAGACUGUCCUCUCUCGCUGUCCACAUGUGAGACUCAUAAUGAAAGACUUCUGUCCUCAGAGUUUCAGUCAAAAAUAAGAAUA
Plectropomus leopardus (leopard coralgrouper) is the source of this 262-nucleotide non-coding RNA. The record is from RefSeq and is a predicted model, not a curated record. Lineage: Eukaryota; Metazoa; Chordata; Actinopteri; Perciformes; Serranidae.